Molecule: ribosomal RNA, 63 nt
Filed under: uncultured bacterium
Lineage: Bacteria
Description: partial 16S ribosomal RNA
Source: RNAcentral
GAGGUCGUAAACCCCCCCANAUUGGUACUGAGACACGGACCAAACUCCUACGGGAGGCAGCAG